This 468-nucleotide ribosomal RNA is filed under the name uncultured bacterium. Its description in RNAcentral is "partial 16S ribosomal RNA". It matches the Rfam family "Bacterial small subunit ribosomal RNA", at positions 28 to 507 of the family's 1533-position model. The record is from RNAcentral.
GACGAACGCUGGCGGCGUGCUUAACACAUGCAAGUCGAACGGAAAGGCCCUGCUUUUUUGGGGUGCUCGAGUGGCGAACGGGUGGGUAACACGUGAGUAACCUGCCCUUGACUUUGGGAUAACCUCAGGAAACUGGGGUUAAUACCGGAUAGGAGCUUCUGCUGCAUGGUGGGGGUUGGAAAGCUUCGGCGGUUGGGGAUGGACUCGCGGCUUAUCAGCUUGUUGGUGGGGUAGUGGCUUACCAAGGCUUUGACGGGUAGCCGGCCUGAGAGGGUGACCGGCCACAUUGGGCCUGAGAUACGGCCCAGACUCCUACGGGAGGCAGCAGUGGGGAAUAUUGCACAAUGGGCGGAAGCCUGAUGCAGAAACGCCGCGUGCGGGAUGACGGCCUUCGGGUGGGAAACCGCUUUCGCCUGUGACGAAGCGUGAGUGACGGUAAUGGGUAAAGAAGCACCGGCUAACUACGUG